UAAUACGGAGGGUGCAAGCGUUAAUCGGAAUUACUGGGCGUAAAGCGCACGCAGGCGGUUUGUUAAGUCAGAUGUGAAAUCCCCGGGCUCAACCUGGGAACUGCAUUUGAAACUGGCAAGCUAGAGUCUCGUAGAGGGGGGUAGAAUUCCAGGUGUAGCGGUGAAAUGCGUAGAGAUCUGGAGGAAUACCGGUGGCGAAGGCGGCCCCUGGACGAAGACUGACGCUCAGGUGCGAAAGCGUGGGGAGCAAACAGGAUUAGAUACCCUGGUAGUCCACGCUGUAAACGAUGUCGAUUUGGAGGUUGUGCCCUUGAGGCGUGGCUUCCGGAGCUAACGCGUUAAAUCGACCGCCUGGGGAGUACGGCCGCAAGGUUA
RNAcentral lists this ribosomal RNA (375 nucleotides) under uncultured Serratia sp. RNAcentral's name for it is "bacterial SSU rRNA". It matches the Rfam family "Bacterial small subunit ribosomal RNA", at positions 521 to 896 of the family's 1533-position model. Lineage: Bacteria; Pseudomonadati; Pseudomonadota; Gammaproteobacteria; Enterobacterales; Yersiniaceae. The record is from RNAcentral.